AAUAAUGUGUGAAAGUACACGAGCGGCGGACGGCUGAGUAACGCGUAGGAAUGUACCCCAAAGUGAGGAAUAACUGCCUGAAAAGGUAGCUAAUGCCGCAUAUGGUCCACGGAUUAAAGCCUUCGGGCGCUUUGGGAGCAGCCUGCGUAUGAUUAGAUAGUUGGUGAGGUAAUGGCUCACCAAGUCUACGAUCAUUAGCUGGUCUGAGAGGAUGAUCAGCCAGACUGGGACUGAGACACGGCCCAGACUCC
Molecule: ribosomal RNA, 251 nt
Filed under: uncultured bacterium
Lineage: Bacteria
Description: partial 16S ribosomal RNA
Rfam family: Bacterial small subunit ribosomal RNA
Source: RNAcentral